Molecule: ribosomal RNA, 2923 nt
Filed under: Klebsiella pneumoniae
Lineage: Bacteria; Pseudomonadati; Pseudomonadota; Gammaproteobacteria; Enterobacterales; Enterobacteriaceae
Description: bacterial LSU rRNA
Rfam family: Bacterial large subunit ribosomal RNA
Source: RNAcentral
GGGUUGUGAGGUUAAGCGACUAAGCGUACACGGUGGAUGCCCUGGCAGUCAGAGGCGAUGAAGGACGUGCUAAUCUGCGAAAAGCGUCGGUAAGGUGAUAUGAACCGUUAUAACCGGCGAUGUCCGAAUGGGGAAACCCAGUGCAAUUCGUUGCACUAUCGUUAACUGAAUACAUAGGUUAACGAGGCGAACCGGGGGAACUGAAACAUCUAAGUACCCCGAGGAAAAGAAAUCAACCGAGAUUCCCCCAGUAGCGGCGAGCGAACGGGGAGCAGCCCAGAGUCUGAAUCAGCUUGUGUGUUAGUGGAACGGUCUGGAAAGUCCGACGGUACAGGGUGAUAGUCCCGUACACCAAAAUGCACAGGUUGUGAACUCGAAGAGUAGGGCGGGACACGUGGUAUCCUGUCUGAAUAUGGGGGGACCAUCCUCCAAGGCUAAAUACUCCUGACUGACCGAUAGUGAACCAGUACCGUGAGGGAAAGGCGAAAAGAACCCCGGCGAGGGGAGUGAAAAAGAACCUGAAACCGUGUACGUACAAGCAGUGGGAGCACCUUCGGGUGUGACUGCGUACCUUUUGUAUAAUGGGUCAGCGACUUAUAUUCUGUAGCAAGGUUAACCGUAUAGGGGAGCCGCAGGGAAACCGAGUCUUAACUGGGCGUUAAGUUGCAGGGUAUAGACCCGAAACCCGGUGAUCUAGCCAUGGGCAGGUUGAAGGUUGGGUAACACUAACUGGAGGACCGAACCGACUAAUGUUGAAAAAUUAGCGGAUGACUUGUGGCUGGGGGUGAAAGGCCAAUCAAACCGGGAGAUAGCUGGUUCUCCCCGAAAGCUAUUUAGGUAGCGCCUCGUGAACUCAUCUUCGGGGGUAGAGCACUGUUUCGGCUAGGGGGUCAUCCCGACUUACCAACCCGAUGCAAACUACGAAUACCGAAGAAUGUUAUCACGGGAGACACACGGCGGGUGCUAACGUCCGUCGUGAAGAGGGAAACAACCCAGACCGCCAGCUAAGGUCCCAAAGUCAUGGUUAAGUGGGAAACGAUGUGGGAAGGCACAGACAGCCAGGAUGUUGGCUUAGAAGCAGCCAUCAUUUAAAGAAAGCGUAAUAGCUCACUGGUCGAGUCGGCCUGCGCGGAAGAUGUAACGGGGCUAAACCAUGCACCGAAGCUGCGGCAGCGACACUAUGUGUUGUUGGGUAGGGGAGCGUUCUGUAAGCCUGCGAAGGUGACCUGUGAGGGUUGCUGGAGGUAUCAGAAGUGCGAAUGCUGACAUAAGUAACGAUAAAGCGGGUGAAAAGCCCGCUCGCCGGAAGACCAAGGGUUCCUGUCCAACGUUAAUCGGGGCAGGGUGAGUCGACCCCUAAGGCGAGGCCGAAAGGCGUAGUCGAUGGGAAACAGGUUAAUAUUCCUGUACUUGGUGUUACUGCGAAGGGGGGACGGAGAAGGCUAUGUUAGCCGGGCGACGGUUGUCCCGGUUUAAGCAUGUAGGCUGAUUGUCCAGGCAAAUCCGGAUAAUCAAGGCUGAGGUGUGAUGACGAGGCACUACGGUGCUGAAGUAACAAAUGCCCUGCUUCCAGGAAAAGCCUCUAAGCAUCAGGUAACAUCAAAUCGUACCCCAAACCGACACAGGUGGUCAGGUAGAGAAUACCAAGGCGCUUGAGAGAACUCGGGUGAAGGAACUAGGCAAAAUGGUGCCGUAACUUCGGGAGAAGGCACGCUGGUGUGUAGGUGAAGUCCCUGCGGAUGGAGCUGAGACCAGUCGAAGAUACCAGCUGGCUGCAACUGUUUAUUAAAAACACAGCACUGUGCAAACACGAAAGUGGACGUAUACGGUGUGACGCCUGCCCGGUGCCGGAAGGUUAAUUGAUGGGGUUAUCCGUAAGGAGAAGCUCUUGAUCGAAGCCCCGGUAAACGGCGGCCGUAACUAUAACGGUCCUAAGGUAGCGAAAUUCCUUGUCGGGUAAGUUCCGACCUGCACGAAUGGCGUAAUGAUGGCCAGGCUGUCUCCACCCGAGACUCAGUGAAAUUGAACUCGCUGUGAAGAUGCAGUGUACCCGCGGCAAGACGGAAAGACCCCGUGAACCUUUACUAUAGCUUGACACUGAACAUUGAGCCUUGAUGUGUAGGAUAGGUGGGAGGCUUUGAAGCGUGGACGCCAGUCUGCGUGGAGCCAACCUUGAAAUACCACCCUUUAAUGUUUGAUGUUCUAACGUUGGCCCCUUACCGGGGUUGCGGACAGUGUCUGGUGGGUAGUUUGACUGGGGCGGUCUCCUCCCAAAGCGUAACGGAGGAGCACGAAGGUUAGCUAAUCCUGGUCGGACAUCAGGAGGUUAGUGCAAUGGCAUAAGCUAGCUUGACUGCGAGCGUGACGGCGCGAGCAGGUGCGAAAGCAGGUCAUAGUGAUCCGGUGGUUCUGAAUGGAAGGGCCAUCGCUCAACGGAUAAAAGGUACUCCGGGGAUAACAGGCUGAUACCGCCCAAGAGUUCAUAUCGACGGCGGUGUUUGGCACCUCGAUGUCGGCUCAUCACAUCCUGGGGCUGAAGUAGGUCCCAAGGGUAUGGCUGUUCGCCAUUUAAAGUGGUACGCGAGCUGGGUUUAGAACGUCGUGAGACAGUUCGGUCCCUAUCUGCCGUGGGCGCUGGAGAAUUGAGGGGGGCUGCUCCUAGUACGAGAGGACCGGAGUGGACGCAUCACUGGUGUUCGGGUUGUCAUGCCAAUGGCACUGCCCGGUAGCUAAAUGCGGAAGAGAUAAGUGCUGAAAGCAUCUAAGCACGAAACUUGCCCCGAGAUGAGUUCUCCCUGAGACUUUAAGUCUCCUGAAGGAACGUUAAAGACGAUGACGUUGAUAGGCCGGGUGUGUAAGCGCAGCGAUGCGUUGAGCUAACCGGUACUAAUGAACCGUGAGGCUUAACCUUACAACGCCGAAG